GGAGAGGUGCGAGAGUUGGCUUAAUCGGCACGACUGGAAAUCGUGUGUCUGCCUAAAAGCGGACCGUGGGUUCGAAUCCCACCCUCUCCGCCA
This 93-nucleotide transfer RNA is filed under the name Candidatus Omnitrophota bacterium. RNAcentral's name for it is "Candidatus Omnitrophica bacterium tRNA-Ser". It matches the Rfam family "tRNA". From Rfam's summary of the family: Transfer RNA (tRNA) molecules are approximately 80 nucleotides in length. Their secondary structure includes four short double-helical elements and three loops (D, anti-codon, and T loops). Further hydrogen bonds mediate the characteristic L-shaped molecular structure. tRNAs have two regions of fundamental functional importance: the anti-codon, which is responsible for specific mRNA codon recognition, and the 3' end, to which the tRNAs corresponding amino acid is attached (by aminoacyl-tRNA synthetases). tRNAs cope with the degeneracy of the genetic code in two manners: having more than one tRNA (with a specific anti-codon) for a particular amino acid; and 'wobble' base-pairing, i.e. permitting non-standard base-pairing at the 3rd anti-codon position. RNAcentral also lists the same sequence under 2 other names. Lineage: Bacteria; Pseudomonadati; Candidatus Omnitrophota. The record is from RNAcentral.